UCCCGGUGGGCGGGGCGGUGGUCUCCGGCGUCUGCGGCGCGGUGGACUCCGCCUUGCCGUCGGUGUUCGACGCGGCGGCCGGGGCC
This 86-nucleotide transfer RNA is filed under the name Streptomyces microflavus. RNAcentral's name for it is "tRNA-Arg(gcg)". The record is from RNAcentral. Lineage: Bacteria; Bacillati; Actinomycetota; Actinomycetes; Kitasatosporales; Streptomycetaceae.